RNAcentral lists this transfer RNA (76 nucleotides) under Pyrinomonadaceae bacterium. RNAcentral's name for it is "tRNA-Trp". It matches the Rfam family "tRNA". From Rfam's summary of the family: Transfer RNA (tRNA) molecules are approximately 80 nucleotides in length. Lineage: Bacteria; Pseudomonadati; Acidobacteriota; Blastocatellia; Blastocatellales; Pyrinomonadaceae. The record is from RNAcentral.
AGGGGCAUAUUGUCAAUGGUUAGCAAGUCGGUCUCCAAAACCGAAAGUUCGGGUUCAACUCCUGAUGCCCCUGCCA